This 264-nucleotide signal recognition particle RNA is filed under the name Candidatus Zixiibacteriota bacterium. RNAcentral's name for it is "signal recognition particle sRNA large type". It matches the Rfam family "Bacterial large signal recognition particle RNA". Rfam says of the family: The signal recognition particle (SRP) is a universally conserved ribonucleoprotein involved in the co-translational targeting of proteins to membranes. Lineage: Bacteria; Pseudomonadati; Candidatus Zixiibacteriota. The record is from RNAcentral.
CUGUGCUAGGCGGGGAGUUAGCGGUGCCCUGUACCCGGAACCCGCUAUACCGGGGCCGAAUUCCCACCCGCGGGUGCGGUCGCCGGACUUCGCCAACGGGUAAGUGGUGUUGAAGGCUGGGUCCCGUACAACGGAAACCUAUGAACCCGGUCAGGACCGGAAGGUAGCAGCCGUAAGUAGUCCGUUCCGUGUGUUGCGGGAGCGCCCGGUUGGAGCCAACUGCCUCGAGGGUUGUCCGGGGGCGGCUCAACGGUGGGUGCACAG